UACACAUGCAAGUCGAACGAUGAAUCGCUUCGGUGGGGGAUUAGUGGCGAAUGGGUGAGUAACACGUGGGCAAUCUGCCCUUCACUCUGGGACAAGCCCUGGAAACGGGGUCUAAUACCGGAUACGACCACUGAGGGCAUCUUCGGUGGUGGAAAGCUCCGGCGGUGAAGGAUGAGCCCGCGGCCUAUCAGCUUGUUGGUGGGGUAAUGGCCUACCAAGGCGACGACGGGUAGCCGGCCUGAGAGGGCGACCGGCCACACUGGGACUGAGACACGGCCCAGACUCCUACGGGAGGCAGCAGUGGGGAAUAUUGCACAAUGGGCGAAAGCCUGAUGCAGCGACGCCGCGUGAGGGAUGACGGCCUUCGGGUUGUAAACCUCUUUCAGCAGGGAAGAAGCGAGAGUGACGGUACCUGCAGAAGAAGCGCCGGCUAACUACGUGCCAGCAGCCGCGGUAAUACGUAGGGCGCAAGCGUUGUCCGGAAUUAUUGGGCGUAAAGAGCUCGUAGGCGGCUUGUCGCGUCGGAUGUGAAAGCCCGGGGCUUAACCCCGGGUCUGCAUUCGAUACGGGCAGGCUAGAGUGUGGUAGGGGAGAUCGGG
RNAcentral lists this ribosomal RNA (599 nucleotides) under Streptomyces sp. 179. Its description in RNAcentral is "bacterial SSU rRNA". It matches the Rfam family "Bacterial small subunit ribosomal RNA", at positions 50 to 665 of the family's 1533-position model. The record is from RNAcentral. Lineage: Bacteria; Bacillati; Actinomycetota; Actinomycetes; Kitasatosporales; Streptomycetaceae.